UAUGUGGAGGGUAAUUUGGAGAAAAAAAAUUAUUUGGUUAGCUACGAUAAGAAAAAAGUAAGAGGGUUAAAUUUCUAAAAUAAAAAAGCUUUGAGGUUAUUUUUAUAAAUUCCCUGUUUCUUUUUCAAUAUAUGUAUGAUCCACUUUAUGACCAAUUUCCGUUAUUCAAGAUUCCAAGUCCCUAGAAGGCUCACGUAAUUGGUUCAAGAAAAUUUGUAUAGUUCACAUUGAGUAUGAUCGACACAUGGAAGGCAUGCAAGGAUCACUGUUUCUCAACGGACCCAAACGAGGCAGCCCAUGAAUUUGAAAACCAGUUGCAUAUUUGAUGCAAGUCCUCACUCGCCCUAAAUCACAGUAACUCACGAGAUACCAGCUCCUUGAGAGAGUCUAUCACUCAGUUUUUAUAUCCCGAAUGGUCAACAAAGUCAACCUCUAGACCUCUAAGUUAGAUAGCCACGUCAGACGGUUCUUAACAGCUUUUCCUGCUUAAACGAGUAAGUUCUAAACUUAAACCUAUUCACUCAACAAGUCUUAGACUUAAGCAUAUACCUAGAAAUGACCUUUGUAACUUUACAAGUGUAAAAUUUAAACCCCCAGAAGCUCUUAUAACAUUGAAUCACAGUCCAACAACCAAUGCAACCCUUUUUGAUCCAUAUAAUCCCAAGAAUCAACCUCAUGCUUAGGUUUGCAUCAACAAUAGUGAUGGCCUUAGUAUAGAAAGUUGACAUAUUAGAAUCUUAUGACUGUAGUUAGAGGGCUAGGAAUAACGACUCCAGAUCGAUCACAAUACCUUUGAUAAGAACAAUAGGUACCAUGCAUGAUUUUCAGAUUAAUUAUCAACACUAGCAAGGAUACAAGUCAAGCAAGGGACGUUCAUGCUUUAAUGGGUAGUCCUUCAAAGUCAUAUCACAUUCUCUCCAUUCAUCCUUUUGUAUAUAUAGAGAGAAGUGUUCUAAUUUAGGCAGUUUACUUCAUUAUUUUUGACGUAGUAGAGUUGCAAUUAUGAUCAUUCCAAAAAUCACAUCUAUCAAAAAGUUACGAUGUAGUUUCUCUUCAAAUUUGCCUCAGUUUUUUAGAUCCCAAGUC
Molecule: long non-coding RNA, 1086 nt
Filed under: Citrus maxima (pomelo)
Lineage: Eukaryota; Viridiplantae; Streptophyta; Magnoliopsida; Sapindales; Rutaceae
Description: long non-coding RNA (CMAX_LNC002177)
Source: RNAcentral